AUUGAACGCUGGCGGCAGGCCUAACACAUGCAAGUCGAGCGGAUGAAGGGAGCUUGCUCCUGGAUUCAGCGGCGGACGGGUGAGUAAUGCCUAGGAAUCUGCCUGGUAGUGGGGGAUAACGUCCGGAAACGGGCGCUAAUACCGCAUACGUCCUGAGGGAGAAAGUGGGGGAUCUUCGGACCUCACGCUAUCAGAUGAGCCUAGGUCGGAUUAGCUAGUUGGUGGGGUAAAGGCCUACCAAGGCGAGGAUCCGUAACUGGUCUGAGAGGAUGGUCAGUCACACUGGAACUGAGACACGGUCCAGACUCCUACGGGAGGCAGCAGUGGGGAAUAUUGGACAAUGGGCGAAAGCCUGAUCCAGCCAUGCCGCGUGUGUGAAGAAGGUCUUCGGAUUGUAAAGCACUUUAAGUUGGGAGGAAGGGCAGUAAGUUAAUACCUUGCUGUUUUGACGUUACCAACAGAAUAAGCACCGGCUAACUUCGUG
Molecule: ribosomal RNA, 484 nt
Filed under: uncultured bacterium
Lineage: Bacteria
Description: partial 16S ribosomal RNA
Rfam family: Bacterial small subunit ribosomal RNA
Source: RNAcentral